Molecule: ribosomal RNA, 405 nt
Filed under: uncultured bacterium
Lineage: Bacteria
Description: bacterial SSU rRNA
Rfam family: Bacterial small subunit ribosomal RNA
Source: RNAcentral
AAUGGGCGAGAGCCUGAACCAGCCAAGUCGCGUGAAGGAAGAAGGAUCUAUGGUUCGUAAACUUCUUUUGCAGGGGAAUAAAGUGCAGGACGUGUCCUGUUUUGUAUGUACCCUGAGAAUAAGGAUCGGCUAACUCCGUGCCAGCAGCUGCGGUAAUACGGAGGAUCCGAGCGUUAUCCGGAUUUAUUGGGUUUAAAGGGUGCGUAGGUGGUUUGAUAAGUCAGCGGUGAGAGUUUGCAGCUUAACUGUAAAAAUGCCGUUGAAACUGUCGGACUUGAGUGUAAAUGAGGUAGGCGGAAUGCGUGGUGUAGCGGUGAAAUGCUUAGAUAUCACGCAGAACGCCAAUUGCGAAGGCAGCUGGCCGGGCCGCAAUCGACGCUGAGGCACGAAAGCGUGGGGGUCAAA